Molecule: long non-coding RNA, 1861 nt
Filed under: Lathyrus oleraceus (garden pea)
Lineage: Eukaryota; Viridiplantae; Streptophyta; Magnoliopsida; Fabales; Fabaceae
Description: Pisum sativum (pea) long non-coding RNA (PSAT_LNC036728)
Source: RNAcentral
GAAACAAGAACUCCAUGACGAACACGGCCAUGUACACAUAUGUGUGAUUCGAAAACGAAGGCGCAUCUCGGGAGUUCGUAUUCGGUGGCGUCACAUUCGUUGGAUUUUUCGUCGAAUCAACAGAAAGGAAACCAUGGCUCCAUGAAAACAAUGAGAGAAACACAUAUGCAUAAAAAGAACUCACCGGAGUAGGAUCGUGAUGUAGUGGCUUAAUAGAAAGGACGUCGAUAGUUGGAGUUCAUAGCUUCCCUCUUCUUCCUCGCGUAAGUUCUAUCUUCUUAUUCGUUCUUCUAUCCCUGAGUUUUUGCUUCAGUACAUGGCUGUUAUGUGCAGAAUCUCCAAAGAUAAGUGAUGUUGUGCAGAGUGUGAAAAUGAUGAUGAUGGAGAUGCAUAGGAUUUUAGGGAUUGGAGAGAGAUGACUGAAUUUGAAGAUUGAAGGAUUCAAGCUCGUGAAUCUCAUAUGUAGAUUGAUCCAAGCUCGUGAAUCUCAAAUGCAGAUUGAUCCAAGCUCGUGAAUCUCAUAUGUAGAUUGAAGGAUCCCAUUGCAGAGUGAAGGAUUCCGUUGCAAAGUGAAGGAUUUUGUUGGAGAGUAGGAUUUUAGUUGAAGAAUGAAGGUGAGUCCCUCUUAUACUUCUCUGAUCUUUCUUAUUAUGUUACUUUCUUCACCUCUUCUGUUAUAGUUGUUAGGCUGGUUCAGUUAGGCUGUUAGAAGUGGUUCAGAAGUUAGUUAGAGCUAACAGAGAUUAACUCUGUUAGUAUGAAUCAGAGCCAAAACAAUUUUAGUUACUCUGUUGGCUUAGGGAGUUGUGAAAGUUUGUUAGCUGGAAUUGGGAGAAAAAGUUGAUUAAAACGGAAACUCCAUGGCCAUGGUUAAAAGUAUAAACAAAGCUUGUUUGCACAUGAAGUAACUUUGGAUGGAACAUGAAAAAAAAUGGAGAAUAAAGCAUGAAGAGUGAGGAUUAUAAGGUUUAGGGUUUUAGGGAAAGUGUGUUGACUUUGGUCAAAGUUGACCAAAAAGUCAACUAUUGACCAAAGUCAACCUUUGGUCAAAUUUAUGUUUUUUUGUAACUUUUGUAUGGGUGAUGUAAACGAUAUUGUAUGGAUUUAACGGGCCUUUGUGAAUGAAACUAGUUCUUUGGAUUUAAUGAAAUAAAUUUCUCAUUUUCAAGUUGUGAUUUUCUUCUCCAAAAAAAUACUUAAGACAUAGCUUUGAGUCAUGCAUUAUGGACAUGAAUGAAUGGACUAGGAAUGCACCAUACAUAAAGAAUCAAUGGAUUAGAAAUGUGUUAUGAAACAUGAGCCAAUGAAUGCAUUGUGAUAAAAGAAUUAAUAAAAUCCAUGAACUUGCACCAUGAAACAAUAUGAAACAUGGAGGCAUGGAUUAGGAAUGCAUCAUGAAUAACAUGAAUGGAAUAAAGCCUAUGACCAAAUGGAUCAUCAAACAAAAAGCCAUGUGACAAUCCAUAAUUAAGGUAUGAUUAAUAGAAAUAACAUGAAUCAAACCACAUGGACCAAAUAGUCCCCUUUCCAAAACUAGGGUUUCAUGGCACAUCAUAUGAUCUAGGUCUCUUAACCAAACACGAGGCUUCACAGACAAACUCAUAACCCAUGGGCCCAUGAUUAGGGCUUAGAUAAUCUAACCAACACUCACGAGCCAAUCACAAGAUCCUAAAGUGACAUAAUCAAGACUUGGAGUUUCACAUUCCCUAUGAACAAAUGAGUAUCCAAGCCAUACCUUUGAGGUUUGAUCCAUAUAGAAACCUUAGCUUUGCAAGCCAAAAGAUUUGAAUCUAUAGUGAUCAACUAAUGGAUGAAUGAUUGGUACAUAUGAAUGAAACAUGUAUCCAAAUAUUCUCAAGCC